Molecule: non-coding RNA, 318 nt
Organism: Cherax quadricarinatus
Lineage: Eukaryota; Metazoa; Arthropoda; Malacostraca; Decapoda; Parastacidae
Source: RefSeq, a predicted model, not a curated record
GUUGGUAGGUGUGGUUGGUGGUGUCAGCUGUGUUUGUAAAUACUGUGACUGAGGAUCCUGGCGACCACCCACCUCCAAUAUUUCUCCUCCUAUUUCCCUACCCUUCAGUUUUUAUAACUCCAACAACAAAGAGGAUAUAAACACAAUGGCAGAUGGAGGUUUUGAUCCCUUGUGAGUGCAUCUGGAGCCAUGAGAUGGCCAUGAGGAGGCUCCUGUCACUUCUUCGACAGUCACAGAGCUACUGCACAGACACCGAGUGCUACAAUGAAUGUGAGUACCAUAUACUGUAAUUUGUUUGAAGUAGCAACUAAAGCCAGU